CUGCAACAUAGUUUAUCAGUAUUCUAAGAAUGUGACCAUUCUCCUUCUGCCUCUCUCUGUAUAUUAUGCUCUUCCUGUCUGUCUCUUUAUGUGUUCUCUCUGCCUGUCUCUUUUUAUUAUGCACUUUAUGUCUGUAUCUUUAUAUUAUGCUCUCCCUGUCUGUUUCACUUUAUAUUAUGGUCUCUGCCUGUCUCUCUUUAUAUCAUGCUCUCUCUGUCUGUCUCUCUUUAUGUUGUGCUCUCUUUGCCUGUCUCUCUUUAUAUCAUGCUCUUUCUGUCUGUCUCUCUUUAUGUUGUGAUCUCUUUGUCUGUCUCUCUUUAUGUUGUGCUCUCUUUGCCUGUCUCUCUUUAUAUCAUGCUCUUUCUGUCUGUCUCUCUUUAUGUUGUGCUCUUUCUGUCUGUCUCUCUUUGUUGUGCUCUCUCUGCCUGUCUCUCUUUAUGUUGUGCUCUCUCUGCCUGUCUCUCUUUAUAUCAUGCUCUCUGUCUCUCUCUUUAUAUCAUGCUCUCUCUGUCUCUCUUUAUGUUGUGCUCUCUCUGCCUGUCUCAUCCAGUUCGCUCAAUAUUCUCCCUCUGUCACUCCUCCUCCCAGUC
Non-coding RNA from Pelobates cultripes (western spadefoot toad), 590 nucleotides. The record is from the annotation of a GenBank genome assembly. Lineage: Eukaryota; Metazoa; Chordata; Amphibia; Anura; Pelobatidae.